Molecule: small nucleolar RNA, 104 nt
Filed under: Jatropha curcas
Lineage: Eukaryota; Viridiplantae; Streptophyta; Magnoliopsida; Malpighiales; Euphorbiaceae
Source: RNAcentral
UCAAAGUAUGUGUACCUGCUGUAAAUAUGGACAUAAAGCCAUCUGUGGGAAAAAAGUGAGCUUGUAAUGAGUUUUGAUUCUCAUAAAGAACCCACAUUACAUGA